This 1237-nucleotide long non-coding RNA is filed under the name Androctonus crassicauda. Lineage: Eukaryota; Metazoa; Arthropoda; Arachnida; Scorpiones; Buthidae. The record is from RNAcentral.
CUGUGAACUGUUCUUGUGAAUACGGCUAAUUCGUCACUAUUUUUAAUCAUAGCUGCAUCUAGAAAUUCAACAUCAUAUGCUAUGUUUUCAGCAUUGUACUGAGCAUUGCAUUCUAUGUUUAUUUCUUCUCUCAUUUUUGAAAUCUAUUAAAAUUAAAAUAGAUUUGUUAAGAAGAUAUUGAUACAUAUUAUCUGUAACGACCAGGCGACUUGGAAAGAGUCUCCUUUAGAAAAUAUCAUAGUGAAAAGAGGAGAUUGGAUACGCUCCCUGGAAAAAUCAAUAAGAAGUAAAUUGUUUGUACCCAAAUUGGGCCCCUCGCCUCUGAUGUCGGGGCCGGGGGUCUUGAUCCUGUAGGAUGAGAGGUGCACGUCUCUGGCGUCAGAGAUGGGGAACUUCUAAGAUUGGGUCCGAAGGGUCCAAUCGCACCCCACGGCGCGUGGUCAAAAAGGGCGUUAUAAGCAGAGUUCCAUUGUGUGGACUUGUGGAUCUUACGAAUCCGACUACCUGCUCGCUCUUCCUUAGAAUGAUGUUCUGCCUAGCGAACGACUACAGUUCCUUUGCUACUACGUGAAUCAGUCUUCCCUGCCAACUAUAGCUGGUUUGCGGAGCUACUACCAUUGAGAUAAGUAUUCUCUUUAUCAUUGUUUUAACUCCGGGAUAGUUGGAGGUCGAGUAAUGUAACUUGGUGUCCCUAUUCUAUUGUAUUGACCUGCAUUCAGUUUAGUCUAUAUGCGUGGUAUUUACCCUUGUAUUUUCGUAUAAUUGUUGUUUUUAAUUGAAUAAAUAGUUCUGUUAGACCUUCUGGAACCUUAGUUCACUGGCUCUCUCUCUGUAGAACAAAACAAUUACCACUAGACACUCGCUUGCCAAACGCACCUGAUCGCUGGCGACGGAACACCCGACGCUUCGUAAGACAGCGCGUAAAAUUUUGGUGCCGUGACCAGGAUAGUGUCUUGUUUCGACAGUAAGUCGGAGACGGCUGAGCAGGUCACUAUUUCUUGUGAAGCCAGUUUAGUUAAGUGGUACACCGCGGAUUGGUAGGCACAAUUACGACGAACAGUGAUGAGAUUUCCUCCCAGAAUACCACUAUGGGAUCUGCGGGACGUGCUCUCUUGAUUGCCGGGUAUGUGUCUCUCCUGCCUUAUUUUUCAGAGAUGGCACUCGCCCAUCGGUUCGGGAGUUUUUCCGAACGUUCGAUCUAGGAAUGGCCCUUGCAGGGUGGUUCGAUGCUGAAAUG